UACGUAGGGUGCAAGCGUUAAUCGGAAUUACUGGGCGUAAAGCGUGCGCAGGCGGUGAUGUAAGACAGGUGUGAAAUCCCCCGGGCUUAACCCGGGAACUGCAUUUGUGACUGCAUCGCUGGAGUGCGGCAGAGGGGGAUGGAAUUCCGCGUGUAGCAGUGAAAUGCGUAGAUAUGCGGAGGAACACCGAAGGCGAAGGCAGUCUC
Molecule: ribosomal RNA, 206 nt
Filed under: uncultured bacterium
Lineage: Bacteria
Description: partial 16S ribosomal RNA
Rfam family: Bacterial small subunit ribosomal RNA
Source: RNAcentral